This 435-nucleotide ribosomal RNA is filed under the name uncultured bacterium. Its description in RNAcentral is "partial 16S ribosomal RNA". It matches the Rfam family "Bacterial small subunit ribosomal RNA", at positions 29 to 507 of the family's 1533-position model. The record is from RNAcentral.
AGUGAACGCUGGCGGCAGGCUUAACACAUGCAAGUCGAGCGGGCAUCUUCGGAUGUCAGCGGCAGACGGGUGAGUAACACGUGGGAACGUACCCUUCGGUUCGGAACAACUCUGGGAAACUGGAGCUAAUACCGGAUACGCCCUUAUGGGGAAAGGUUUACUGCCGAAGGAUCGGCCCGCGUCUGAUUAGCUAGUUGGUGGGGUAACGGCCUACCAAGGCGACGAUCAGUAGCUGGUCUGAGAGGAUGAUCAGCCACACUGGGACUGAGACACGGCCCAGACUCCUACGGGAGGCAGCAGUGGGGAAUAUUGGACAAUGGGCGCAAGCCUGAUCCAGCCAUGCCGCGUGAGUGAUGAAGGCCUUAGGGUUGUAAAGCUCUUUUGUCCGGGACGAUAAUGACGGUACCGGAAGAAUAAGCCCCGGCUAACUUCGUG